RNAcentral lists this transfer RNA (68 nucleotides) under Ochotona thibetana (Moupin pika). Its description in RNAcentral is "tRNA-Arg". It matches the Rfam family "tRNA". From Rfam's summary of the family: Transfer RNA (tRNA) molecules are approximately 80 nucleotides in length. Their secondary structure includes four short double-helical elements and three loops (D, anti-codon, and T loops). Further hydrogen bonds mediate the characteristic L-shaped molecular structure. tRNAs have two regions of fundamental functional importance: the anti-codon, which is responsible for specific mRNA codon recognition, and the 3' end, to which the tRNAs corresponding amino acid is attached (by aminoacyl-tRNA synthetases). tRNAs cope with the degeneracy of the genetic code in two manners: having more than one tRNA (with a specific anti-codon) for a particular amino acid; and 'wobble' base-pairing, i.e. permitting non-standard base-pairing at the 3rd anti-codon position. The record is from RNAcentral. Lineage: Eukaryota; Metazoa; Chordata; Mammalia; Lagomorpha; Ochotonidae.
UGAUAAUUAGUUUAAACAAAAACAAAUGAUUUCGACUCAUUAGAUUAUGGGUUAACCAUAAUUAUCAA